RNAcentral lists this ribosomal RNA (305 nucleotides) under uncultured bacterium. RNAcentral describes it as "bacterial SSU rRNA". It matches the Rfam family "Bacterial small subunit ribosomal RNA", at positions 333 to 654 of the family's 1533-position model. The record is from RNAcentral.
UGCAUCCUACGGGGCGCAGCAGUGGGGGAUAUUGCACAAUGGGGGAAACCCUGAUGCAGCGACGCCGCGUGUGGGAAGACGGUCCUCUGGAUUGUAAACCACUGUCCCCAGGGACGAAGAUGACGGUACCUGGGGAGGAAGCUCCGGCUAAAUACGUGCCAGCAGCCGCGGUAAUACGUAUGGUGCAAGCGUUAUCCGGAUUUACUGGGUGUAAAGGGAGCGCAGGCGGCACGGCAAGCCUGAUGUGAAAGCCCGCGGCCCAACCGCGGGACUGCAUUGGGAACUACCGGGCUGGAGUGCCGGAG